Long non-coding RNA from Pan troglodytes (chimpanzee), 679 nucleotides. RefSeq lists it as uncharacterized. The record is from RefSeq and is a predicted model, not a curated record. The transcript has 2 exons. Lineage: Eukaryota; Metazoa; Chordata; Mammalia; Primates; Hominidae.
AGAGAGAGAAUGGAGAACAAACAGAGAAGGAAGCCAAGAACAGCCUCCAAGGAGAACACAACAUUCAAGGUACAUGUAAAAGAAUAGAAGCCAGUAGAGAAAGAAGGACAAAUCAGAGGGAAGAAGAGCCAGGAGAUACCUUUCAGAAGCCAUGGUAUUAAACAUCUCUAGUGCCCCAGUUAAGUCAAAUAAGGUGGGAAGUGGAAACUGAUGAAGUUUAUUGGACUUGGUGCUUUCGAAGUCACUGGAAAUUACCACCACAGCAAUUUCAGUAGAUUAGCAAGGUGUUGACUAGAGUACCAUUAAGAGUGAUUGAAAGGUAAAGAGAUGAAGACAACAAACAAAGGCUAUUCUUCUAAGAAAUUUAUCAUGAAGAUAAGAAGAAAAGGGGAAAUUUAGAGACAGACGCACAUGCAGGGGAAUGCCAUGUGAGGAUGCAGAGACCAAGGUGAUGCUUCUAUAAGCCAGAGAAUGACAAAGAUUGCCUGAAAACCACCAGAAGCUAAUGGAAAGACAUAGAACAGUUUCUUCCCCACCAAGCUCAGAAAGGACAAACCUAUCUACACCUUCAUUUCUCUCUUUUUUUUUUUUGCCCUAAAGCAAUGAAAUGCAGAUCGACAUCUUCAUUUUGGACAUCUAGUCUCUAGAACUCUGGGACAAUAAAUUUCUGUUGAUUAUA